UUGAACAGAUAAAAAAAAAAAGAAAAUAUACAUACAGGUUCAUAUACAGAGUGACAAGGGAUAAACGUUUGUUCCCACGAUACAGCAUCAAUGAUCCUGUGACCAGUGCAUAAUAAAAUUACUAUACAAACCACUUUGAAAAAUGUAUCGACCAAUUUAAUGUUUUUAAAUGGUUAUUAUACGGAGCAUUAUAUGAGAAAUAUUGAAAAUACAGUACAGUAAUAUAAAAUAAAUUUGAAAGCAUACGCUGUUUAUUCUGAACAUUUUUAUCAGAAUAAGAUCAAACGUGAAUACAUUUUUUGAACACUGAAGUAAGCUUAUUUACAUGGCAUAAAUGAACAAUAAAAAAAAAAGAAAAUAUAAAAUAAUAACAAUAUGUACAGUUAACAGCCUUCUUUGAACGCUCGUCACGGUUAUGGUGGCUUAUGCAUAAUUAACAAAAAAUUAAAAUUAAAAUGGACAUGUAUAAUAAGGUUUAAAGAUGAUACAUCCAGUGUUAAUCAGUUAAACUCAAAACAAUUAUCAAAAACAUAUUUUUCGGGCUAUCAGUUUGAUUGAUGACUUUGAAAUAUCGUAAUUCGUUAGGUAAGGUGCAUUAUAAUAGACGUAAAUUUGCAUUGAACUGUCGAAAGCUACUUCGCACUACAACUUAAGUUUUUGUGAAGCAACUGCAUUCUUAGAACACGGAGGAGAUGGAGGAGUAUGAGAACCCGAAAGUAAUCAAAAAACAAAUUCCAUGUCAGUUUUAAAUACAAACAUUCAAAAUGUAUUACAGAAAGUGAUUGUGUCUAAAUAAUGUCUAACUAGUAUAAUAAAGAAAAAUGAUCAAUUCAAAAAUUUAUGGUAAAAACGUGAUGUCUUCAUUUGAAAAACUUAAGAUUGAAUCAUCACAGGACACUACUUAAGUAGUAAAUAAAUCGCAAGAAUUGGAAAAUACAUUGUUUUAAAUUAUAUUUAAAAUAAAAAAAAAUUAAAAAUGUUUAAUAUUUAAAAAAAAAAAAAAAUGAUAAUGAAAAUCAUCAUAUUGUAUACCUACAAAAUGUCAGCCUAAAUACAAGGUGAAUUCACAAAAGUAUGCGUUGCUCAAUACUUUCCCUCCCCUGCAUUUUCACUUUAAAAUUCAAAUUUUGAUUUUAAUAAUUUUCAGUAAGAAUAACAUGCAGUUAAAGAGGUAAUGUAACUAUAAGUAUCCUAUACUAUAAUAUCAAAU
Molecule: long non-coding RNA, 1210 nt
Organism: Aphis gossypii (cotton aphid)
Lineage: Eukaryota; Metazoa; Arthropoda; Insecta; Hemiptera; Aphididae
Exons: 8
Source: RefSeq, a predicted model, not a curated record